GACAGAGGGUGCAAACGUGUUCGGAAUUACUGGGCGUAAAGCGCGUGUAGGCGGCCCUGCAAGUCGGAUGUGAAAUCCCACGGCUCAACCGUGGAAGUGCAUUCGAAACUGCAGGGCUAGAGUCCUGGAGAGGAAGGUGGAAUGCUUGGUGUAGAGGUGAAAUUCGUAGAUAUCAAGCGGAACACCGGUGGCGAAGGCGGCCUUCUGGACAGUGAC
RNAcentral lists this ribosomal RNA (216 nucleotides) under uncultured bacterium. Its description in RNAcentral is "partial 16S ribosomal RNA". It matches the Rfam family "Bacterial small subunit ribosomal RNA", at positions 524 to 740 of the family's 1533-position model. The record is from RNAcentral.